GACGAACGCUGGCGGCGUGCCUAACACAUGCAAGUCAACUUGACUGAAGGAGCAAUCUGACAGUAGAGUGGCGCAAGGGUGCGUAACGCGUAAGUAACUUGCCCCAAGGUAAGGAAUAACGUCGAGAAAUCGGCGCUAAUACCUCAUAAUGCAGCGGAUCCGCAUGGAUAUGUUGUUAAAGGUUUACCGCCUUGGGAUAGGCUUGCGUCUGAUUAGCUAGUUGGUGUGGUAACGGCACACCAAGGCUACGAUCAGUAACUGGUCUGAGAGGAUGAUCAGUCACACUGGAACUGAGACACGGUCCAGACUCCUACGGGAGGCAGCAGUGAGGAAUAUUGGGCAAUGCUCGAAAGAGUGACCCAGCAACGCCGCGUGGAGGAUGAAGGUAUUCUAUAUCGUAAACUCCUGUGAGAGCAGACGAAAGACAGAUUAUUAAUCUGGAUGACUGUAAUGCUCAGAGGAAGCCCGGCUAACUACG
RNAcentral lists this ribosomal RNA (478 nucleotides) under uncultured bacterium. RNAcentral describes it as "bacterial SSU rRNA". It matches the Rfam family "Bacterial small subunit ribosomal RNA", at positions 28 to 505 of the family's 1533-position model. The record is from RNAcentral.